RNAcentral lists this long non-coding RNA (401 nucleotides) under Prunus persica (peach). RNAcentral describes it as "long non-coding RNA (PPER_LNC007971)". The record is from RNAcentral. Lineage: Eukaryota; Viridiplantae; Streptophyta; Magnoliopsida; Rosales; Rosaceae.
GAAUCAAUACAAACAAACAAUCAAUGAUGAAACAUUGUUGUACUAUACACUAUGGUCGUGCCAAAACAAUUUCCACACAAAACAGGGCCAAAACACACAGAAGAAGAAACGAGGGAAUCCCCAAAAAAAAAGAAGCUGAAUACGUCCAAUGACCAUAAAGGUCAAGAGGAAAAACGUGAAAUAUACUGCCAAAGUGAAAUGACCAAGACCAACAAAGUGAAAUGAAAUUUCAAGGCAAAAGUGAUCUGGUUCAAGCAAGUUCCCAACUUUUGUUUUAUUUUUCUAGGGAGGAAGAUAUUUACAUGACAUCUUGAAGCAGUCCACUUUAGUAAGGAAUCAAAUCAAUACGAACAAAGACUGAUAAAACAUUGUAGUACAUAAGUUGAAUGGCUAUUAAAGUA